UACGUAUGUCACAAGCGUUAUCCGGAUUUAUUGGGCGUAAAGCGCGUCUAGGUGGUUAUGUAAGUCUGAUGUGAAAAUGCAGGGCUCAACUCUGUAUUGCGUUGGAAACUGUGUAACUAGAGUACUGGAGAGGUAAGCGGAACUACAAGUGUAGAGGUGAAAUGCGUAGAUAUUUGUAGGAAUGCCGAUGGGGAAGGCAGCUUACUGGACAGAUACUGACGCUGAGGCGCGAAAGCGUGGGUAGCAAACAGG
Molecule: ribosomal RNA, 252 nt
Filed under: uncultured bacterium
Lineage: Bacteria
Description: partial 16S ribosomal RNA
Rfam family: Bacterial small subunit ribosomal RNA
Source: RNAcentral